UUUUUUUUUUUUUUUUUUUGUUGAAUUUCAAUUGGUUGAUCCAUUGCUCAACAGAAUCAUGGAUUUGAAUUUUAUUGGUUUAAUAUCUAUCAUCUAUGACACAUAGUAAAAGUAGGGUAUGGAAUCUCUAAAUAUUUAUAUCAAAUUUGUGUAAAAUUAAUUAUAGUGUAUUUAUGAAUUCAAUUUUUUUUUUUUAUAGCC
Molecule: unclassified non-coding RNA, 201 nt
Filed under: Hevea brasiliensis (rubber tree)
Lineage: Eukaryota; Viridiplantae; Streptophyta; Magnoliopsida; Malpighiales; Euphorbiaceae
Source: RNAcentral